This 473-nucleotide ribosomal RNA is filed under the name Oceanicaulis sp. HTCC2633. Its description in RNAcentral is "bacterial SSU rRNA". It matches the Rfam family "Bacterial small subunit ribosomal RNA", at positions 1 to 519 of the family's 1533-position model. Lineage: Bacteria; Pseudomonadati; Pseudomonadota; Alphaproteobacteria; Maricaulales; Maricaulaceae. The record is from RNAcentral.
UCAACCUGAGAGUUUGAUUCUGGCUCAGAACGAACGCUGGCGGAAGGCUUAACACAUGCAAGUCGAGCGCGCCCUUCGGGGUGAGCGGCAGACGGGUGAGUAACGCGUGGGAACGUGCCCUUUGGUUCGGAAUAGCCCUUGGAAACGAGGAGUAAUGCCGAAUGUGCCCUUCGGGGGAAAGAUUUAUCGCCAAAGGAUCGGCCCGCGUUAGAUUAGCUAGUUGGUGAGGUAAUGGCUCACCAAGGCGACGAUCUAUAGCUGGUCUGAGAGGAUGAUCAGCCACACUGGGACUGAGACACGGCCCAGACUCCUACGGGAGGCAGCAGUGGGGAAUCUUGGACAAUGGGCGCAAGCCUGAUCCAGCCAUUCCGCGUGGAUGAUGAAGGCCCUAGGGUUGUAAAAUCCUUUCGGCAGGGAAGAUAAUGACGGUACCUGCUAAAGAAGCCCCGGCUAACUCCGUGCCAGCAGCCGCG